RNAcentral lists this ribosomal RNA (253 nucleotides) under uncultured bacterium. Its description in RNAcentral is "partial 16S ribosomal RNA". It matches the Rfam family "Bacterial small subunit ribosomal RNA", at positions 524 to 776 of the family's 1533-position model. The record is from RNAcentral.
UACGUAGGGGGCAAGCGUUGUCCGGAUUUAUUGGGCGUAAAGAGCGUGUAGGCGGCUAGGUAGGUCCGUUGUGAAAACUCGAGGCUCAACCUCGAGACGUCGAUGGAAACCAUCUAGCUAGAGUCCGGAGGAGGAGAGUGGAAUUCCUGGUGUAGCGGUGAAAUGCGCAGAUAUCAGGAAGAACACCCGUGGCGAAGGCGGCUCUCUGGUAUGUGACUGACGCUGAGACGCGAAAGCGUGGGGAGCGAACAGG